UAGGGAAUCUUCCGCAAUGGGCGAAAGCCUGACGGAGCAACGCCGCGUGAGUGAUGAAGGUCUUCGGAUCGUAAAACUCUGUUAUUAGGGAAGAACAAAUGUGUAAGUAACUAUGCACGUCUAGACGGUACCUAAUCAGAAAGCCACGGCUAACUACGUGCCAGCAGCCGCGGUAAUACGUAGGUGGCAAGCGUUAUCCGGAAUUAUUGGGCGUAAAGCGCGCGUAGGCGGUUUUUUAAGUCUGAUGUGAAAGCCCACGGCUCAACCGGGGAGGGUCAUUGGGAACUGGAGAACUGGAGUGCAGAAGAGGAAAGUGGAAUUCCAUGUGUAGCGGUGAAAUGCGCAGAGAUAUGGAGGAACACCAGUGGCGAAGGCGACUUUCUGGUCUGUAACUGACGCUGAUGUGCGAAAGCGUGGGGAUCAAACAGG
This 429-nucleotide ribosomal RNA is filed under the name Actinomycetes bacterium. RNAcentral describes it as "Actinobacteria bacterium partial 16S ribosomal RNA". It matches the Rfam family "Bacterial small subunit ribosomal RNA", at positions 355 to 776 of the family's 1533-position model. Lineage: Bacteria; Bacillati; Actinomycetota; Actinomycetes. The record is from RNAcentral.